ACGUAGGGUGCAAGCGUUAAUCGGAAUUACUGGGCGUAAAGCGUGCGCAGGCGGUUAUAUAAGUAACAUGUGAAAAAAGAGGGGGGAACCUGGGAACUGCGUUUGUGACUGUAUAGCUAGAGUACGGCAGAGGGGGAUGGAAUUCCGCGUGUAGCAGUGAAAUGCGUAGAUAUGCGGAGGAACACCGAUGGCGAAGGCAAUCCCCUGGGCCUGUACUGACGCUCAUGCACGAAAGCGUGGGGAGCAAACAG
Molecule: ribosomal RNA, 251 nt
Filed under: uncultured prokaryote
Description: partial 16S rRNA
Rfam family: Bacterial small subunit ribosomal RNA
Source: RNAcentral